UUUGGCAUGGGCGAAAGCCUGAUCAGCAAUGCCGCGUGUGUGAAGAAGGCCUUCGGGUUGUAAAGCACUUUUGUCCGGAAAGAAAUGGCUCUGGUUAAUACCUGGGGUCGAUGACGGUACCGGAAGAAUAAGGACCGGCUAACUACGUGCCAGCAGCCGCGGUAAUACGUAGGGUCCAAGCGUUAAUCGGAAUUACUGGGCGUAAAGCGUGCGCAGGCGGUUGUGCAAGACCGAUGUGAAAUCCCCGAGCUUAACUUGGGAAUUGCAUUGGUGACUGCACGGCUAGAGUGUGUCAGAGGGGGGUAGAAUUCCACGUGUAGCAGUGAAAUGCGUAGAGAUGUGGAGGAAUACCGAUGGCGAAGGCAGCCCCCUGGGAUAACACUGACGCUCAUGCACGAAAGCGUGGGGAG
RNAcentral lists this ribosomal RNA (410 nucleotides) under uncultured bacterium. Its description in RNAcentral is "bacterial SSU rRNA". It matches the Rfam family "Bacterial small subunit ribosomal RNA", at positions 363 to 768 of the family's 1533-position model. The record is from RNAcentral.